UACUACAAACAAUUACCGUGUGCUUAAUUCUACUAUGCCAAUUUAUAGUUAGAGUGAACACAUAUUAUGUUGCUUUUACCAUGUUUUGGUUUGACUAACCAUGGAUUUAUGACAUAGCGCAUAGUAGCUACAACUACUAAUUAUAGUCAACUCCAGUGGGAAAAAAUAUAUCUAGCGUCAGAUUAACUUCAUCGUUUCUGAAAUUAUAAAUUAGCACGUUUUACUAAAAUAAAUUUACAAUAAAAUACUGGAGCUUCAACAAUCGACCAUAGACGGCAGCUUCAUAACCGCAAUCCGCAUACUUUUUCCUUCGCUUGCCAUAAGGUGAAUCGAUUUGCGUCGUACUUUGAACUUUGUCAAUUUGCUAAUUAGUGAAUACUCUUGAACUUUUUAAUUGUUCCCGAACUUGACCAUGAUUCCCACCUCGACAUCGCAGAUGAUUGUGGUUCCCUGGCCGAUUGACGAGACAGAAAACUGAAAGAGCAGCUAUUUGGAAUACGCAGAAAGCUGAUUCUGAUAAGUGUGGUUAUGUUGGGCGCUAUCUGUCUGCUCGUACUACUGUUAAUUCUGGCCAAGUCUAGCGCCAAAGAGAAUCGUUGGGAUCGAACGGAACGAGAUCAAACUUCCUCUUCGAUGGCGGUCGGGCGAGGCAAUAUUCAACAUAGCAUUCCGUUCUUCGUUGGUUUUUCCGGAUCGGUCAGAGCAAUCAGCUUUACCAACAACGCUUCUUUGGCAUUCCAUGGCGCAGUAUUCAACAUAUGAUUAUUAAUUAGGAAUUUAUUUUGCUCAAUAAGUCGCCUGAUUCACUUUGCAAGAGAUGAUGAAAUAAAAAAAAAAUCCAUAUAAAAACAAAACAAAACAACUAAAUUGCAUUUACAGAAUAACUCAACAUGGGGGUUGUUGUUACUAUUUUGCUAAAAUCAUCAUAAC
Aedes aegypti (yellow fever mosquito) is the source of this 930-nucleotide long non-coding RNA. RefSeq lists it as uncharacterized. NCBI's taxonomy places the organism in Eukaryota, Metazoa, Arthropoda, Insecta, Diptera, Culicidae. The record is from RefSeq and is a predicted model, not a curated record. The transcript has 2 exons.